CGCCUCUGGAGCAUGUGAUAUGCCAGCUCAAUUAAUGAGCUCAGAUCUAACGCUCCUUGUUUUUUUGCAUUUUCUAUUUUUUGAUUUAAUUUCUUUUAUUUCCAUUUAUUUCAAAAAUUCAUAACUCUUUCAUUUUAAUUCCAAAAAUUAUGGGACCAAUUGCAUUAGUCUCCAAAUAAGUUCUAGUUUCUAUUUCUGAUUUUU
RNAcentral lists this long non-coding RNA (204 nucleotides) under Lathyrus oleraceus (garden pea). RNAcentral describes it as "Pisum sativum (pea) long non-coding RNA (PSAT_LNC015785)". The record is from RNAcentral. Lineage: Eukaryota; Viridiplantae; Streptophyta; Magnoliopsida; Fabales; Fabaceae.